This 477-nucleotide ribosomal RNA is filed under the name uncultured bacterium. RNAcentral's name for it is "partial 16S ribosomal RNA". It matches the Rfam family "Bacterial small subunit ribosomal RNA", at positions 28 to 507 of the family's 1533-position model. The record is from RNAcentral.
GAUUAACGCUGGCGGCGUGCAUAACACAUGCAAGUCGAACGAUGAAACUUAGUAUACUUCUUCGGAAAGACACUAAGCGGAUUAGUGGCGAACGGGUGAUUAACGCGUUAGUAACCUGCCUUACACAAGGGGAUAGCCUUUGUAAACGAAGAAUAAUACCCUAUCAAACCAUAAAAGCACAUGCUAGAAUGGUCAAAGUGAUAGGGGUGUAAGAUGGACUUGCGUCUGAUUAGCUGGUUGGUGAGAUAAACGCUCACCAAGGCAACGAUCAGUAGCCGGCGUGGGAGAGGGUACGGGCAGGUUGGGAAGGAGACACGGCCCAGACUCCGAGGGAAGGCAGGAGUGGGGAAGUUUGCACGAUGGGGGAAACCCUGAUGAAGCGACGCCGCGUGAUUGAGAAGGCCUUCGGGUUGUAAAAAUCUUUUGUAUAGGAAGAAAAUGACAGGACUAUACGAAUAAGGGCCGGCUAAUUACGUG